Molecule: ribosomal RNA, 492 nt
Filed under: uncultured bacterium
Lineage: Bacteria
Description: partial 16S ribosomal RNA
Rfam family: Bacterial small subunit ribosomal RNA
Source: RNAcentral
AUUGAACGCUGGCGGCAUGCUUUACACAUGCAAGUCGAACGGUAACAGGCCUUCGGGUGCUGACGAGUGGCGAACGGGUGAGUAAUGCAUCGGAACGUACCCAGAGGUGGGGGAUAACGCAGCGAAAGCUGUGCUAAUACCGCAUGUGAUCUGAGGAUGAAAGCGGGGGACCGAGCAGCAAUGUUUGGCCUCGCGCCUUUGGAGCGGCCGAUGUCGGAUUAGCUAGUUGGUGGGGUAAAGGCCUACCAAGGCGACGAUCCGUAGCUGGUCUGAGAGGACGACCAGCCACACUGGGACUGAGACACGGCCCAGACUCCUACGGGAGGCAGCAGUGGGGAAUUUUGGACAAUGGGCGCAAGCCUGAUCCAGCAAUGCCGCGUGCGGGAAGAAGGCCUUCGGGUUGUAAACCGCUUUUGGCAGGAACGAAACGGUGUCCGCUAAUACCGGGCGCUAAUGACGGUACCUGCAGAAUAAGCACCGGCUAAGUACGUG